RNAcentral lists this long non-coding RNA (1832 nucleotides) under Homo sapiens (human). RNAcentral's name for it is "non-protein coding LINC01471:7". Lineage: Eukaryota; Metazoa; Chordata; Mammalia; Primates; Hominidae. The record is from RNAcentral.
AGGUGAUGGGAACUGGGGGGAGCAAAGAGUGGGGAACUGGGCAGGGUCUGGCGGGGCUGUGGUGGGGGAAGCUGAAGCAUGAAGGCUCGAGGAGCACACAGACACCUACACACAGCUCCGCGGGCAUGUGGGGACCCAGACCCACCCCCACAGCAGACACCCCCACAGAGCACUCAUGGCCCCCACAGAAAUACACCCACACUCAUCACAGCAAACCAAAACAAUCACACGCCGGUACACAAACACACACACCCCCGCACCAAUCCAGGCAGACACAAAGCUCACGGCGACAGGCAGAUCUGAUUCACACAGACACAGGCACAGGUGCUUCCUGAUGCCACCCUCUCUUGGUCACGUGCCAGCACUUGGAGGGAGGAAAGUGCCUCACCAGGCUGAGAUGCCCAAGGGACCCCCCAGGGAGGGAAAGCAGGACACACUGGGACAGUUGCUUCCAGCCCUGUCCACACCCUUGUGCCCAUCAGGCCAAGCCACUGGUGAAUAUGCUGCAAAAAAUAUGCUGGAACUUCUAUGAAUACCACAGGGUGUGAGAAGAAAACAUUAGAACUUCUAUUUUGUACCUGUGUUACUCCACAACAAGAAAGCAAUCAGCUUGAUCAAUGCCUACUGUAAAGACGGCACCGCCCUCCGGAGGUCCUUUCUCAGCCCUGGUGUUCGGACAGCCACAUCCCCUCGCAGCAGGGGGAGGCCUGAAGCAUAGAGGGGCCCAUGCAGGUCUAUUCUGUUUCAGCGAAUUGCCUGGGAAAUAAUCCAGGAUCCAUUUCGUGUGGUCAUCUUGUCUCCCUGGUCCCCUCCAGCCUUUCCUCAUCUUUUGUGACCUGGUCACUCUGGAAGGGCGCUGGCCAGUUAGUCCACAGGAUGGGCCUCCCCUGGGGCUUUUCUGAUGCUUCCUUAUGAUGGCACUGGCAUCCUGAGGGGGAGGACCACAGAGAGGAGGUGCUCCUCAUCACACCACAUGGGGGUCCAUGCACCAGUGCCACUGCUUUCCAGGGCUCUUCACCUUCAUCACUGGUGGAGGUGGCGUCUGCCAAGAAGCAGAAAGUUGAGGCUUAGAAGGUGCACGGCCCUACCUCUUCCGAGGUGCCCCUGCGGGCUGUCUACAGACCAGGCAGCACAUGCCUGAUAGCAGCUGCAUAAGGAAAAGCAGGAGCCAGCUCGUGCACAGUGGCCUCAAGUGUGCACUGGGCAUGUUCUCUGCCUCACCAUCCCUGUGUGACAGAUGAAGCAUGGCAAGCCAGGCUCCAGAGAAGCAUCCUGAGGACCAGUGUUCCUAGGGACCUCAUUCUUCUGACCUCAUUCCUACAACGUUUUGUCACUGCAAAGGAAAUCACCAAGGCCAGCAUGACAGCCCUCAACAGAAGCCAAGGCCAAGUCCUCGAACUUCCUAGUCUGCACAAUGACAAGUGAGCUCAUGGAAACCUCUCCAUCGUUGACCAGGAUCUAUAGGAAAACCCUCCUCUUCUUCUAUAUGCAAAGGCUGCACAGCUCCUGGUUCACCUGCACCUCUCCAGACCACCAUGGUGCCUGCAGCUCUGAGGGCAUUUUAAAUCAUCACAGAACAACAAGCAUAUAAGCAUCAUGAGCGCCUCUGGACCUCUGACGUGCCUUGUGGAGGCCUGCCAGGCCCACGUUUUAAUUUACAUGAACUCGAUGCCCUUUUUGACAGGGAGAGAUCUGUUUCUUUAUUUGUUAGCCUUUCCCCUGGACCUGCUAGAUCUGGACCAUCCCCAGGAAAGGAAGGUCACACCACAAAGAUAAAUAUAAACAAAAUGAGUUAAUUAAGAAGGAGUUAGUCUGAAAUUCAAUAUUCCCAA